RNAcentral lists this unclassified non-coding RNA (353 nucleotides) under soil metagenome. RNAcentral's name for it is "partial contains 5.8S ribosomal RNA, internal transcribed spacer 2, and large subunit ribosomal RNA". The stretch from base 1 to 120 matches the Rfam family "5.8S ribosomal RNA", at positions 35 to 154 of the family's 154-position model. The record is from RNAcentral.
GAUGAAGAACGUAGCGAAAUGCGAUAAGUAAUGUGAAUUGCAGAAUUCAGUGAAUCAUCGAAUCUUUGAACGCACAUUGCGCCCGCCAGUAUUCUGGCGGGCAUGCCUGUUCGAGCGUCAUUACAACCCUCAGGCCCCCGGGCCUGGCGUUGGGGAUCGGCGGAAGCCCCCUGCGGGCACAACGCCGUCCCCCAAAUACAGUGGCGGUCCCGCCGCAGCUUCCAUUGCGUAGUAGCUAACACCUCGCAACUGGAGAGCGGCGCGGCCACGCCGUAAAACACCCAACUUCUGAAUGUUGACCUCGAAUCAGGUAGGAAUACCCGCUGAACUUAAGAAUAUCAAUAAGCGGAGGA